Bos taurus (domestic cattle) is the source of this 1330-nucleotide long non-coding RNA. Lineage: Eukaryota; Metazoa; Chordata; Mammalia; Artiodactyla; Bovidae. The record is from Ensembl.
GGGGCACUGGCUCGGGGACGAGGGCACUGGAGCCCGGCAUCCUCUCCUCCUCCGACUCCUUCCUCCUCGCCCCUCCCCACCUUGGGUCCUGCGCUUUCUUGCGGGGGUCUGCCCUCCAGUCCCUGGCUCCUGGGGACUAGGGACCCUCCUACUCCCCGCAACCAGUUAAGAACUGAACACCCUGGAGCCCCUACCGGCGCUCGGGCUAACUCGGCCGCGCUUUUUCGUUCCUUUAUGGAAAGCACUGCAGAGGCCACCCCGGCUUGCCUGCGGUGAUGAUGCGCGCGGAGAUGACUCCACGGUCCGGUCCAGCCCCAGUGUGGAGCGCAUGGGGACGUCACCUGUCCCAGCCUCCUGUUCCUCAAAGAUUGAGUUGGGGGAGGGGGGAGGACGGUAAAGAUACCUCUGAGGAUGGAGUAAGAUGACACAGGUGCAGGGCCUCGCACCCUUUCAUUUCUGCCCUUCUCCCUCGCGUGCAUGGACAGACCUAAGACAGGACAGAAGGAGGGAAAGGAGCGACGCUCUCGGACCGACUACCCCCUCCAGCCUUUCAGCAGGGAGCGGGCAGCAGGAAGUGGUGCCCUGGGUUUCCUGUCCCGCGGCUCCUGCCCCAAAGGCGAUCUGGUACCUCAUUAGAAACCCUCCUCAGAAAGGUUCAUCAGUCACUAUUAAAAGACUUCUUUAUGUAGUGACUGGAGUGGUGGCUGGUGAGGGGGUGGAAGAUGAGGCUCUGCUUGGGAGCUCCUGGAAAAUAAGAACAUCCUGCAAUGAACAAAGUAAACUUCGGGAGAGAACUGCAGUUCUUGAUACUUUCUGCAGGCUGUCCUGACUGAUGUUUCUCUUGGCAACGGGACUAGCCUGGCAUCUGGACAUGAAGGAGGUCCUCCCCUUACUGCAGCCUGGGGACCACCCUCAUUGCAGUAGGCUGCCAACACCAGCUCCCUUUUCAAAGCCACACUUAAGUACCCUUCUUCCGGGACUCUCCAGAUCUCUUCUCCCUCCUGAGAACCAGUAUAAUUUCCCACCAUUCCUGCCCAUCCCAAGCUAUUAGAUAGGAGAGAGAUAUUGUGUGGGUGCAGGUCAUUAUGAAUAUGCAGAAGGAUAAUGUUUAUAUUCAGAUGAGAAAUGAGACAGUAUUUGAAACACAGGCAAGCCAGAUUUCAGUUUUGAAUGCUUAAUCAGUAACUUGAGAGAGCCAUAGUGCUAUCAAUUAUUGCUGAUACCUUUCCACGGGCAGCAUCUCAUAUAAUUGCUAUUGUCUUCUUGCAAAGCUCCAAGGUUUUGCAUCCUGUUUCAUGGCUUCCCCACAGAAAAGGGUAGGAGAAGUAAG